This 254-nucleotide ribosomal RNA is filed under the name uncultured bacterium. RNAcentral's name for it is "partial 16S ribosomal RNA". It matches the Rfam family "Bacterial small subunit ribosomal RNA", at positions 524 to 776 of the family's 1533-position model. The record is from RNAcentral.
UACGUAGGGUGCGAGCGUUAAUCGGAAUUACUGGGCGUAAAGCGUGCGCAGGCGGUGAUGUAAGACCGAUGUGAAAUCCCCGGGCUUAACCUGGGAACUGCAUUGGUGACUGCAUCGCUCGAGUAUGGCAGAGGGGGGUAGAAUUCCACGUGUAGCAGUGAAAUGCGUAGAGAUGUGGAGGAAUACCGAUGGCGAAGGCAGCCCCCUGGGUCAAUACUGACGCUCAUGCACGAAAAGCGUGGGGAGCAAACAGG